RNAcentral lists this ribosomal RNA (484 nucleotides) under uncultured bacterium. RNAcentral's name for it is "partial 16S ribosomal RNA". It matches the Rfam family "Bacterial small subunit ribosomal RNA", at positions 28 to 507 of the family's 1533-position model. The record is from RNAcentral.
GAUUAACGCUAGCGGCAGGCAUAAUACAUGCAAGUUGAACGGCAGCACAGGUAGCAAUACUGGGUGGCGAGUGGCGCACGGGUGCGUAACACGUAUGCAACCUACCCUAUACAGGCGAAUAACCUUUAGAAAUGAGGGCUAAUACGCCGUAGUAUUACAGAUGGGCAUCUAUUUGUAAUUAAAGAUUUAUCGGUAUAGGAUGGGCAUGCGUCCCAUUAGUUAGUUGGUAAGGUAACGGCUUACCAAGACGAUGAUGGGUAGGGGAUCUGAGAGGACUUACCCCCACACUGGUACUGAGACACGGACCAGACUCCUACGGGAGGCAGCAGUAAGGAAUAUUGGGCAAUGGCCGCGAGGCUGACCCAGCCAUGCCGCGUGCAGGAAGACGGCCUUAUGGGUUGUAAACUGCUUUUAUACAGGAAUAAUAGAGUGUACGCGUACAUUUAUGCAAGUAUCGUAUGAAUAAGCAUCGGCUAACUCCGUG